Molecule: long non-coding RNA, 220 nt
Filed under: Mytilus galloprovincialis (Mediterranean mussel)
Lineage: Eukaryota; Metazoa; Mollusca; Bivalvia; Mytilida; Mytilidae
Source: RNAcentral
UGUUGCGUGUUGCGUGUUGCGUGUUGCGUGUUGCAUGUUGCAUGUUGCAUGUUGCAUGUUGCGUGUUGCAUGUUGCAUGUUGUAUAAAAAAUAAAGUUAAACGACAUUUUUUGUACACUUAGGAAGUUUUUUCUUUCUUUUUAGUUUGUUGUUGUGCGAUUGCUGUUUCAAUGAAGUCAUUCAAAAUUAUACUACGAUACCUUCGAUAGAUGACUGGUGG